This is a long non-coding RNA of Nerophis ophidion (straightnose pipefish), 1868 nucleotides long. RefSeq lists it as uncharacterized. The record is from RefSeq and is a predicted model, not a curated record. The transcript is spliced from 5 exons. NCBI's taxonomy places the organism in Eukaryota, Metazoa, Chordata, Actinopteri, Syngnathiformes, Syngnathidae.
GAUAGUCGAACCUCGGAUUCAGGAGGAACAGUGUGGUUUUCGUCCUGGUCGUGGAACUGUGGACCAGCUCUAUACUCUCGGCAGGGUUCUUGAGGGUGCACGGGAGUUUGCCCAACCAGUCUACAUGUGCUCGGGAAGUCCUGUGGGGAGUGCUCAGAGAGUAUGGGGUAUCGGACUGUCUUAUUGUGGCGGUCCGUUCCCUGUACGAUCAGUGUCAGAGCUUGGUCCGCAUUGCCGGCAGUAAGUCGAACACAUUUCCAGUGAGGGUUGGACUCCGCCAAGGCUGUCCUUUGUCACCGAUUCUGUUCAUAACUUUUAUGGACAGAAUUUAUGGACACGAUUUCAAUAGUACUUCCCAUUGUGUUGCUGUUGAUAUUUUUACCUCAAAACAUGUACUAUCAAAGUAUCAACAUUUUGAUUUGAAAAUCAAUUUUAGAGCAUUAAGAUCUGGCACUCCUUUUAUUGAUAUUCAAGUAUCAUUCCGCACAUCUUAACUAGUCUGAAGUUGCCAAGUACUCAUGUAUGGACGACCCACCUCCGGCUACACGAUCACCUGGCCGCCGCAGCUACAUCCAUCCUACUGGUCUCUUUUUGAUGACAAGAUGUGGAGUUGACUGUUCAUAUCAUCCAGCUGUUGAUGGCCUAUUUUGAUGAAAGAAGAGGUGCACUGAUACUUCUUGCAGAUAUGUCUGCCACUGCAGGCGAUGUGGAGCGGACACUGACCCUCCUGAUCAGUCCACGACUGACACUGCUAGUUGCUGGUGACAAAGUCACAAUAAAACGUUAGAUGAUCAGCAUGGAAGGUGAUGUCAUCUGCGAAGGCGUCCAACCUAGCUUCAUCUAAGGGCUUGCUGCCCUUCUUGCCACCUACUAUGUGUUCAACUUGGAAUACCAAGAGGAAGGUGCUCGGACAUUGGAAUUUGUUCAAAGGCGAUUCAUUGGCAUUAACCCUGAGAGGGGAACAAAUGCUAGCCAGGGUAAGGUGGUGUCCAAGAAGACCGGGAAGCUGGUCCAGAAAAAGGCAGCAACUGUAAAUCCUCACGUACUUACUUACUUAGGCCCAUCGCUCCCAAUGGAGCAUAGGCCAUCAAUGACUCCUCUCCAUGCAGCACGGUUUUGGGCUGUCCUUUCCGCCUCUCCCCAGCUGGUUCCCAACCUCUUCAGCCCCGCCUCAGAGUCCCGCCUCCAGGUGUUUUUAGGCCGUCCCCUCUUCCUCUUUCCCUGUGGGUUCCACGUCAAGGCUUGCCGUGUGAUGGUAGUUGCUGGUUUCCUAAGGGUGUGCCCAACCCAACCCCACUUUCUCCUUAGUAUUUGUUUCUCCACUGGCUCCUGAUUCCCUUUCCUCCAGAGUUCCUCGUUGCUGAUUUUGUUUGGCCACCAAAUCCUGAAAAUCCUCUUCAGACAACUGUUAAUAAACGUUUGUAACCUUUGUACGGUCUUCUUUGUCAUCCUCCAUGUUUCAGAGCCUCACGUAGCCACCCUUAUAAAAAUUCUCACAGACUUUGGUGGGGCUUUAUGUUGCCCGACCACUGAACACUGGGUAUGCCAUGUUCAGUUAGUUUAGUCAAUUGUGCAGUUCAGUUUUGUUUUACAAAUUUUUCCAUUGCACAUGAUCCCAACUUGUUUUGUUCUAAAUGUUAAAAAUGUUCUUUGAAAAUGUGUGUGCCCUCUCUGAUUGUGAAGCAGAGCCACUAUGAAUGGAGGUGUGUGUGUGGGGGGGAUGUUUACAUCAUAUCCAAAUGGACAUUUUCAUUUUGAUCCUUUUGAUUGUUAUCUGGAUGUAGGAACCACGUUCUCUGAUGCCAUCGUUUGUUCCGGUUGCAGGAGUUGCUUAACAUUGUUUUAAAUAUUAAAAUGUUAAUUUAAAA